Molecule: ribosomal RNA, 388 nt
Filed under: uncultured bacterium
Lineage: Bacteria
Description: bacterial SSU rRNA
Rfam family: Bacterial small subunit ribosomal RNA
Source: RNAcentral
CACGUGGGUAAUCCACCCUCGAGUGGGGAAUAAGCUUCCGAAAGGGGGUCUAAUGCCGCAUAACGUUUCAUAACGAUGGUUAUGAAACCAAAGCCCAAAAGGCGCUCGAGGAGGAGCCUGCGUCCUAUCAGCUUGUUGGCAGGGUAAUGGCCUACCAAGGCUAUGACGGGUAGCCGGCCUGAGAGGGUGUCCGGCCACACUGGAACUGAGACACGGUCCAGACUCCUACGGGAGGCAGCAGUGGGGAAUUUUGCGCAAUGGGGGAAACCCUGAAGCAGCGACGCCGCGUGGAGGAUGACGGCCUUCGGGUUGUAAACUCCUGUCAGAAGGGACGAAAUCCCGCAAGGGACUGACGGUACCUUCGGAGGAAGCCCCGGCUAACUACGUG